RNAcentral lists this unclassified non-coding RNA (240 nucleotides) under soil metagenome. RNAcentral's name for it is "partial contains 5.8S ribosomal RNA, internal transcribed spacer 2, and large subunit ribosomal RNA". The record is from RNAcentral.
AACCAUAGAAACCUGCGGAGUACCUGCGGAGGGAUCAUUACGAGAGUGUCACCACUCCCAACCCAUUGUUUACCUACCCGUCCACCGUGCUUCGGCAGGCAGCCCUGUGGGACAGAGCCUCGCCCCCUUUCGCGGGGGGUGCCUGCCGCUUGCCAACCAAAACUCUAGCUGUUUUAGUACCAUCUGAGUCUUCCACAAAUGAACAAAACUUUUAACAACGGAUCUCAGAUCGGAAGAGCA